GACGAACGCUGGCGGCGUGCUUAACACAUGCAAGUCGAACGGAAAGGCCCUGCUUUUGUGGGGUGCUCGAGUGGCGAACGGGUGAGUAACACGUGAGUAAGCUGCCCUUGACUUUGGGAUAACUUCAGGAAACUGGGGCUAAUACCGGAUAGGAGCUCCUGCUGCAUGGUGGGGGUUGGAAAGUUUCGGCGGUUGGGGAUGGACUAGCGGCUUAUCAGCUUGUUGGUGGGGUAGUGGCUGACCAAGGCUUUGACGGGUAGCCGGCCUGAGAGGGUGACCGGCCACAUUGGGACUGUAAUACGGCCCAGACUGCUUCGGGACGCAGCAGUGGGGAAUAUUGCACAAUGGGCGGAAGCCUGAUGCAGCAACACCACGUGCGGGAUGACGUCCUUCGGGUUGUAAACCGCUUUCGCCUGUGACGAAGCUUGAGUGACGGUAAUGUGUAAAGAAGCACCGGCUAACUACGUG
RNAcentral lists this ribosomal RNA (468 nucleotides) under uncultured bacterium. RNAcentral describes it as "partial 16S ribosomal RNA". It matches the Rfam family "Bacterial small subunit ribosomal RNA", at positions 28 to 507 of the family's 1533-position model. The record is from RNAcentral.